CCAUGUGAGAUUCUAUAUAAUGAUCGAGGCAAGCUGUAGGCAUACAUGGAUGAGAUGUUUGACAUGGGAAAUUAUAGAUGAAAAUAGAGAUGCAAUUUUUUCCACUUCUCAACUUUUCUUUGUUGCCUUCAUGACUUUUCCUCCACAAGUUUUUUUCCUCAAAAACAAAAAGGAAAAAAGAUGAGAUAUCGUCCUCUUAUUCUCAUUCAGAUAUAGGCCUACAAGUGGAUUGAUCGAUCUCCAAUUUGGAACCGAUCCAAAACUAAUUCGUUCCAACC
This 278-nucleotide long non-coding RNA is filed under the name Elaeis guineensis (African oil palm). RNAcentral describes it as "long non-coding RNA (EGUI_LNC032133)". The record is from RNAcentral. Lineage: Eukaryota; Viridiplantae; Streptophyta; Magnoliopsida; Arecales; Arecaceae.